UUCCGGUUGAUCCUGCCGGACCUGACUGCUAUCGGAUUGAUACUAAGCCAUGCGAGUCUUUGCAGUAAUGCAAGGCAUACGGCUCAGUAACACGUAGUCAACCUACCCUAUGGACGAGAAUAAUCUCGGGAAACUGAGCAUAAUUCUUGAUAGAUCAUAAUGCCUGGAAUGGUUUAUGGUUAAAAUGAUUCGUCGCCAUAGGAUGGGACUGCGGCCUAUCAGCUUGUUGGUGAGGUAAUGGCCCACCAAGGCGAUUACAGGUACGGGCUCUGAGAGGAGAAGCCCGGAGAUGGGUACUGAGACACGGACCCAGGCCCUAUGGGGCGCAGCAGGCGAGAAAACUUUGCAAUGUGCGAAAGCACGACAAGGUUAAUCCGAGUGAUUUCUGCUAAAGAAAUCUUUUGCCAGUCGUAAAACCGCUGGUGAAUAAGGGGUGGGCAAGUUCUGGUGUCAGCCGCCGCGGUAAAACCAGCACCUCAAGUGGUCAGGAUGAUUAUUGGGCCUAAAGCAUCCGUAGCCGGCUUUGUAAGUUUUCGGUUAAAUCCAUGUGCUCAACGCAUGGGCUGCCGAAAAUACUGCAUAGCUAGGGAGUGGGAGAGGUAGACGGUACUCAGUAGGUAGGGGUAAAAUCCUUUGAUCUAUUGAUGACCACCUGUGGCGAAGGCGGUCUACCAGAACACGUUCGACGGUGAGGGAUGAAAGCUGGGGGAGCAAACCGGAUUAGAUACCCGGGUAGUCCCAGCUGUAAACGAUGCAGACUAGAUGAUGCAUUGGCAUAAUAGCCAUUGCAGUGUCUCAGGGAAGCCGUUAAGUCUGCCGCCUGGGAAGUACGUACGCAAGUAUGAAACUUAAAGGAAUUGGCGGGGGAGCACCACAAGGGGUGAAGCCUGCGGUUCAAUUGGAUUCAACGCCGG
RNAcentral lists this ribosomal RNA (914 nucleotides) under uncultured marine archaeon. RNAcentral's name for it is "bacterial SSU rRNA". It matches the Rfam family "Archaeal small subunit ribosomal RNA", at positions 1 to 921 of the family's 1478-position model. The record is from RNAcentral.